This 1029-nucleotide long non-coding RNA is filed under the name Carassius auratus (goldfish). RNAcentral's name for it is "lncRNA (ENSCARG00000034107.1)". Lineage: Eukaryota; Metazoa; Chordata; Actinopteri; Cypriniformes; Cyprinidae. The record is from RNAcentral.
AUGAAAUAUUCAAAUAAUAUAAUUGUUAAAAACAGUCUUAAAAUCUGGACCCAAUUUUUGAGACAUUUUGCUCUUCAUAAUAGCCCCCUGUUAUCCCCAAUACAUUCUAACCCAUUGUUUUACCUCUCCAUCUUAGACCGUCCAUACACCUCUUGGAGAGACCUUGGGUUGGUUUCUAUUGCUGACCUUUACAUCGAUGGAGUUUUAGCCUCUUUUGAACAGUUGACUUCUCAGUUUAAUAUUUCCAAACAACAUUUUUUCAGAUAUUUACAAAUUCGAGAUUUUGUACGCAAAAAAUUUGUCAACUUUCCAAAUGCUCCUCUCCCCUCAGAUUUAGACACCAUUCUGGGUGUGGUUCCUUGUACUAAAGGGUCAAUUUGUAAAUUAGUGCAUACAAUCAUUCAUUUGCAGUCUUCCUCUGAUAAUUUACGCCUUGUCUGGUCCCAAGACAUCGGUAUUGAGAUUAGCGAGGAGACAUGGGGGGCAGUCCUGAACAGGGUUUACUCCUCAUCCCUCUGCGCACGUCACAGGCUCAUACAGUGCAAGGUGGUUCAUAGAGCCCACUGGUCGAAGACCAGGUUAGCACGCAUUAACCCUUCUAUUGACUCGGAGUGUGACAGGUGUCAUUCUGGUUCAGCCACUUUAAUUCACAUGUUCUGGUCCUGCCCUGCCCUGUCUUCCUUUUGGAGACACAUUUUUGUCUCAUUGUCAGCCAUUACCUCGGCAGAUAUCCCACUUUGUCCAGUCACAGCUUUAUUUGGGGUUCUUCUGCCUGGCCAUUCUUUUCCUUGUCACUUUUCAGAUGUCGUAGCCUUUCUGACUCUUUUAGCUAGGCAUUCAAUUCUAUUGAAUUGGAAAAGCCCUCACCCUCCAUCUUACACUUGCUGGAUAAGAGAUGUUCUUUAUUUUAUGAAACUGGAGAAAAUUAGGUACUCUCUUCACCGACCUAGCACCAUUUUCAUCAAGCUUUGGCAACCCCUUUGUGAACAUAUCAAAACUCUCCAGCUUGAACCUGCUCUUUGUGUGUGA